Molecule: long non-coding RNA, 336 nt
Filed under: Hordeum vulgare
Lineage: Eukaryota; Viridiplantae; Streptophyta; Magnoliopsida; Poales; Poaceae
Description: long non-coding RNA (HVUL_LNC014019)
Source: RNAcentral
GCCGACGAGUUCACGGCCGUGCACAUCGACGCGGGUGUGCCCGUGACUACGACCUACUCCGUGUCGCUGGACACGGUGACGCCUCCAAGCACACCAGCAACACCUACUGCACCAAGCCCACCGAGAGGACCAAGCUCACCGCGGACGCCCGUGUCCAGCGGAACCGAUGUGAGCUCACCGUGGGCAUCGAACACGCAGUCGUCAGAAGGACCUACCUCGCUCACUCCGGCAACUCCCGACGACUCAGAUGACGGGUGGGUGACUCCACCUACCGGUGAGGACUACGACACAGAGGGGGUGCCCGUCCGUUUCAAAUCGAUGGAAUAUGUGAUCGAC